Molecule: ribosomal RNA, 497 nt
Filed under: uncultured bacterium
Lineage: Bacteria
Description: partial 16S ribosomal RNA
Rfam family: Bacterial small subunit ribosomal RNA
Source: RNAcentral
GACGAACGCUGGCGGCGUGCCUAAUACAUGCAAGUUGAGCGAUGAAGAUUGGUGCUUGCACCCAUUUGAAGAGCAGCGAACGGGUGAGUAACGCGUGGGGAAUCUGCCUUUGAGCGGGGGACAACAUUUGGAAACGAAUGCUAAUACCGCAUAACAACUUUAAACAUAAGUUUUAAGUUUGAAAGAUGCAAUUGCAUCACUCAAAGAUGAUCCCGCGUUGUAUUAGCUAGUUGGUGAGGUAAAGGCUCACCAAGGCGAUGAUACAUAGCCGACCUGAGAGGGUGAUCGGCCACAUUGGGACUGAGACACGGCCCAAACUCCUACGGGAGGCAGCAGUAGGGAAUCUUCGGCAAUGGACGAAAGUCUGACCGAGCAACGCCGCGUGAGUGAAGAAGGUUUUCGGAUCGUAAAACUCUGUUGGUAGAGAAGAACGUUGGUGGGAGUGGAAAGCUCAUCAAGUGACGGUAACUAACCAGAAAGGGACGGCUAACUACGUG